UGAGUCAGUGGUCAUCAAUGGUGGUGGAUGAAUCAUGGACAAUGAAUACUAUGUGUCUGGAUAACGAGGUCCAG
Molecule: small nucleolar RNA, 74 nt
Organism: Zalophus californianus (California sea lion)
Lineage: Eukaryota; Metazoa; Chordata; Mammalia; Carnivora; Otariidae
Product: small nucleolar RNA SNORD113/SNORD114 family
Source: Ensembl